UACGGGGGGGGCAAGCGUUGUUCGGAAUUACUGGGCGUAAAGGGUUCGUAGGUGGCCAACUAAGUCGGACGUGAAAUCCCUCAGCUUAACUGGGGAACUGCGUCUGAGACUGGAUGGCUUGAGUGCAGGAGAGGAACGCGGAAUUCCAGGUGUAGCGGUGAAAUGCGUAGAUAUCUGGAGGAACACCGGUGGCGAAGGCGGCGUUCUGGACUGCAACUGACACUGAGGAACGAAAGCCAGGGGAGCAAACGGG
Molecule: ribosomal RNA, 253 nt
Filed under: uncultured bacterium
Lineage: Bacteria
Description: partial 16S ribosomal RNA
Rfam family: Bacterial small subunit ribosomal RNA
Source: RNAcentral